This 74-nucleotide transfer RNA is filed under the name Parcubacteria group bacterium. RNAcentral describes it as "tRNA-Pro". It matches the Rfam family "tRNA". From Rfam's summary of the family: Transfer RNA (tRNA) molecules are approximately 80 nucleotides in length. Their secondary structure includes four short double-helical elements and three loops (D, anti-codon, and T loops). The record is from RNAcentral. RNAcentral also lists the same sequence under 1 other name.
CGGGACGUCGUAUAAUGGUAGUAUACGCGCUUUGGGAGCGUGCGAUCAGGGUUCGAUUCCCUGCGUCCCGACCA